AUUCCCCCGAGUCGGCCCGCGGGCUACGGCCGCCUGCGGAGCGCAGGAACCUUCACCUCCCGAGGACAGGCGCCUUCCCCUCGGGACCCGGCUCCCCUGCUGCCUGCGCCGCUCUGUCCCCCUGCCGCUGCCCAAGCCUCCAGCAGGGGCCACCGAGGGCUCCAGGAGCACCCCAGGCCCGUUCUUCUGGCCCACAGCGCCCCUCCUGUGACCCUCAGCGACCCUCCUGUCCUGCCCUCCGGCGGCGCGGCUGUCUGGAGACUCUGCACCGUCGCGGCCUCGCAGCCUCGCAGCCCCGCGCCGGGUGGGGAGGGGAGGGUGGCGUUCCUGAGUCCGCGGAGGAAAGGGUCGCAGCUGCAGUCGCGCCAGCCCUCGGGCCUACAUCCGCUCCGCCGCGACGCGGCUCACAAACUAGGGAGGGGAGAAGGGAAGAAAGACCCGAUUCGGGAACACGGCUUUGUCCCUGGAACUGUACCUCAUGUCCCCUCACUUAAUCCUCCCAAGACCUGUGGGGCGUGUCGUCAUUUUAGGGCUGGAGAUGAGGAAACCGAGGCUCGGAGAGAUGAAGCGUUGUACGGCCACCGAGCGGCUGCUUUGCAACGAAGCCAAAGCCAACGUUUUGUUCUUAGCGGCGGUCGUUUGAGCCACGCCUCACCGCAACGAGUCUGCCAUCAGCCAAGAGGUCACAUCUUUUCUGGAACUCGCUCCCCCCUCACAUCAUGGGAGCAGUCAGUCUACUCUUCCAGUAGAAACUGUUUUGCCACUUUUGGGGGGAAUCUUGAGCUACCAGCUCAUCGCUCAGGUCUUAGAUGACACUUUCCUUGACCCCACCGGGUGCUCCAGCGCCUCUGCUUCCGGUUUUCAUAGCCCUUAUAAUAUCACCUAUUGCAAUUGCCCAUUUCCUUGUCUGUCUCCCUCUGCAGAUGGAGUGAAGGUACCUGAGCGCAGGAACCAUGGUCUUCAUUGCUGCCUCAGCAUUAGCGGAAGUGCCACGGGCCGGCUCCCAGGGGGCCAGAGUUUCCCAGGAACACCAUUGAGUACCACUGAACUAGAGUCUGCAAGUUAAAGUAAGGCAAGAAGGAAAACCGGAAACAACUGUAAAAACCUGACCUUUCGUCACCUUAAUACUGGCCAUCAUUUAUCGAGUGCUUAUUAUGUAACAGACAUUGUUCUCAGUGUGUGAGUGCAGUGUUCCUCAAACCUAAAUGUGGGCCUGAAUCGCAGCGGAUCUUGGUAAAAUGCAGUUUCUCAUUCAGUACCUCUGGGGUGCGGCCUGAGAUUCUGCAUUUCCAACAAGCUCCCAGGAUACUUUGUAUAGAAAGGCUUUGGUGUAUUAACUAACUCGAUCUUCUUAAUAAUCCUAUGAAAUACUACUGCUAUUCCCAUUUUACAGAUGAGGAAACAGAGGUUAAGCAUAUAUGAACUUACAUCAAAAUAAAUAGACUGCAGGGCAAGGAGGGAGGGGAGAAUAGUGUGGGCAGUGUACAGUGCAGAAACAAAGUUCUAGGCAGAGGAAAAAGGAUUUACAGAAAGCCUGGCAUACAGGGCAGGGGGACGGGGCCUGCACACGGGGCUGUUUCACCGUUAGACGUUAUAAGCACAGUACUUGGGGCUAUGGGCUUCCUGAAGGUCCCAAGUAUUUGAGACCUGAAAAAAAUUUAUUGACACCUACAUAGGAAAAGUGAACUUUUAAAUUAAUAAUUCCAAAAUUCAAAUCACGAAUUGUUUCAAAAAUUUUACAUGAUAGAAUUCAUAUUUAGUAAGCGAUACGGGUAUAUUUUAAUGCAUUUGAUUUUAAAAACGGGGUAGGGCCUACUAAGAACAGGCCAAGCCCUGGCCCCAGUGGGUUUGGAUAUAAUCCUGAGGGCAGCUGGGAACCACUGAGAGAAGCAGGAGAAUGUUCUCUGUGGCUACAGUGAGGAGAAUGGAUUGGAGGGAGGCCAGACUGGAGGCCCAGUGGCUAGAGACCAGAUAGGCAGUUACAGUCUUCCAGACUGCGAGACAAUCUCUCUUUAGUGCCAAGAUUAGCAUAAAAUCAUAGCAUUAUAUAACCCAAUUAUUCUUUGAUUCCUGCAUCCCCAAUCUGACUCAGCAUUCUAAAUUUACUUAAGAUCUGGGGACAAGGGUUUUUGGCAAAUCCUUGAAGGCAAAUGAUGUUACAGUCAAUCAGUAUAUGCCUUGAGCCAGACAGACAUGGGUACGGGCCUCAGUUCUGCUGCUUGCUAGCUAUGUGACUUUGCACAAGUGAUUUAACUUCUCUGGGCCUUGGAUUCCUUACUGGUAACACGAGCAUAAUCGAUUCCUCACAGAAUUAAGUGAGAAAACUAUGUAUGUAGGACUUCUUAUGGAGUGGGUACUUAGAAAUAAAUGGUAGCCGUUAUCAUUUAUGUGCCUUUGUUCU
Molecule: long non-coding RNA, 2401 nt
Filed under: Homo sapiens (human)
Lineage: Eukaryota; Metazoa; Chordata; Mammalia; Primates; Hominidae
Description: HSALNT0366036
Source: RNAcentral